GUACCCAAGUGGUUAAGGGAGAGGUCUGCAAAACCUCCAUGCACCGGUUCGAAUCCGGUCGGCACCU
RNAcentral lists this transfer RNA (67 nucleotides) under Sphaerochaeta sp. RNAcentral's name for it is "tRNA-Cys". It matches the Rfam family "tRNA". From Rfam's summary of the family: Transfer RNA (tRNA) molecules are approximately 80 nucleotides in length. Their secondary structure includes four short double-helical elements and three loops (D, anti-codon, and T loops). Further hydrogen bonds mediate the characteristic L-shaped molecular structure. tRNAs have two regions of fundamental functional importance: the anti-codon, which is responsible for specific mRNA codon recognition, and the 3' end, to which the tRNAs corresponding amino acid is attached (by aminoacyl-tRNA synthetases). tRNAs cope with the degeneracy of the genetic code in two manners: having more than one tRNA (with a specific anti-codon) for a particular amino acid; and 'wobble' base-pairing, i.e. permitting non-standard base-pairing at the 3rd anti-codon position. Lineage: Bacteria; Pseudomonadati; Spirochaetota; Spirochaetia; Spirochaetales; Sphaerochaetaceae. The record is from RNAcentral.